RNAcentral lists this ribosomal RNA (433 nucleotides) under uncultured bacterium. RNAcentral describes it as "partial 16S ribosomal RNA". It matches the Rfam family "Bacterial small subunit ribosomal RNA", at positions 29 to 507 of the family's 1533-position model. The record is from RNAcentral.
AACGAACGCUGGCGGCAUGCCUAACACAUGCAAGUCGAACGAGACCUUCGGGUCUGGUGGCGCACGGGUGCGUAACGCGUGGGAACCUGCCCUUAGGUUCGGCAUAACUCCCCGAAUGGGGUGCUAAUACCGGAUCAUGUCUUCCGACCAAAGAUUUAUCGCCUUUGGAUGGGCCCGCGUUGGAUUAGCUAGUUGGUAGGGUAAAAGCCUACCAAGGCGACGAUCCAUAGCUGGUCUGAGAGGAUGAUCAGCCACACUGGGACUGAGACACGGCCCAGACUCCUACGGGAGGCAGCAGUGGGGAAUAUUGGACAACGGGCGAAAGCCUGAACCAGCAAGGCCGCGUGAGUGAUGAAGGCCGGAGGGUUGUAAAGCUCUUUUACCCGGGAUGAUAAUGACAGUACCGGGAGAAUAAGCACCGGCUAACUCCGUG